UUGAAAGGGAAACGAUUGAAGUCAGUCAUGCUGGUGGGAAUCAACUUAGGGGAAACUCUGGGUGCACUUCUUCGCUUGGCAGGUCAACGUCGAUUUUGAAUGUCAUAAAAUAAUUGGGGAAGGUAGCUCCUUCGGGAGUGUUAUAGCCCUUGAUAUAUGUGAUGUUUGAGGUCGAGGAUUGCAACGGAAUCCUUCGGGGCUAGCUGCCUGAUCUCUAAUUGGUGUUGGGUUACGGAUAGCAUGCUGACCGUGAUCUAAUUACUGGUUAAAAGGUUAGAGUAUGCAUAAAUUCGUUAAGGAUGUUGACGUA
This 310-nucleotide ribosomal RNA is filed under the name uncultured Glomeromycotina. RNAcentral describes it as "LSU rRNA". The record is from RNAcentral. Lineage: Eukaryota; Fungi; Glomeromycota.